This 133-nucleotide small RNA is filed under the name Klebsiella pneumoniae. RNAcentral's name for it is "RtT sRNA". It matches the Rfam family "RtT RNA". From Rfam's summary of the family: This family represents a bacterial cis-regulatory element known as RtT RNA. The exact function of RtT is unknown although it is thought that it may be involved in changing the cellular response in relation to amino acid starvation. Lineage: Bacteria; Pseudomonadati; Pseudomonadota; Gammaproteobacteria; Enterobacterales; Enterobacteriaceae. The record is from RNAcentral.
UGUUUGCACUUAGCGGGAAGGGUAAGAACCUUCGACUAAGGUUCGACUCGAGCGCCAGCGAGAGAACGUUGCCGCAGGCAACGGCCCGAAGGGCGAGGAGMGAUAGCGACGAGUUAUCCUUCCCCCACCACCA